GCCGGGGUGGCGGAGUGGUUAUCGCGCCAGCCUCGAGAGCUGGUGGGCUUCGCGCCCGCAGGGGUUCGAGUCCCUUCCCCGGCGCCA
This 87-nucleotide transfer RNA is filed under the name Candidatus Bathyarchaeota archaeon. Its description in RNAcentral is "tRNA-Ser". It matches the Rfam family "tRNA". From Rfam's summary of the family: Transfer RNA (tRNA) molecules are approximately 80 nucleotides in length. Their secondary structure includes four short double-helical elements and three loops (D, anti-codon, and T loops). RNAcentral also lists the same sequence under 4 other names. The record is from RNAcentral. Lineage: Archaea; Thermoproteati; Candidatus Bathyarchaeota.